This 54-nucleotide non-coding RNA is filed under the name Pyrodinium bahamense. Lineage: Eukaryota; Dinophyceae; Gonyaulacales; Pyrocystaceae. The record is from RNAcentral.
CGAGUGAUGCCGGCCAGGCCCGGAAGGGAGGGCGCAGCGGAUCGUCCACAGAUG